Molecule: ribosomal RNA, 240 nt
Filed under: uncultured Lactobacillus sp.
Lineage: Bacteria; Bacillati; Bacillota; Bacilli; Lactobacillales; Lactobacillaceae
Description: partial 16S ribosomal RNA
Rfam family: Bacterial small subunit ribosomal RNA
Source: RNAcentral
UAACCUGCCCAAGAGAUCGGGAUAACACCUGGAAACAGAUGCUAAUACCGGAUAACGACAGAUGAUGCCUAUCAACUGUUUAAAAGAUGGUUCUGCUAUCACUCUUGGAUGGACCUGCGGUGCAUUAGCUAGUUGGUAGGGUAACGGCCUACCAAGGCGAUGAUGCAUAGCCGAGUUGAGAGACUGAUCGGCCACAUUGGGACUGAGACACGGCCCAAACUCCUACGGGAGGCAGCAGCU